RNAcentral lists this ribosomal RNA (347 nucleotides) under Schedotrioza sp. S56. RNAcentral's name for it is "partial 12S ribosomal RNA". Lineage: Eukaryota; Metazoa; Arthropoda; Insecta; Hemiptera; Triozidae. The record is from RNAcentral.
UUUAAUUUAAAUUAUUUCUGAGUAGUACAAGUUAUAAUCUUUAAACUCAAAAGAUUUGGCGGUAUUUUAUCUUAUUAGAGGAACUUGUUUGUUAAUUGAUAAUCCACAAUUAUUAUUUACUUUAAUUAAAAAUAUUUGUAUACCGCUGUCAUGAAUAUAUUAAAAAAUUAAUUUUCCAUUAUUUGUUAUUAAAUAAAUUUAUGUUAGGUCAAGGUGCAGUUUGUUAAAGAAUUAAUGAGUUACUUUAAACAAUAUGAAUGGAAAUUUAAAAUUUAAUUUAAAUUGAAAACGGAUUUAAAAGUAAACAUAUUUAUAAUAAUAAAAUGAAUUUAGAUUCUAAAAUAUGU